UACGAAGGCCCCAAGCGUUAUCCGGAUUUAUUGGGCGUAAAGAGUUCAUAGGCGGUUUGAAAAGUGACCCGUCAAAUCUCAUGGCUCAACCAUGAGGCUGCGGGUCAUACUAUCAGACUUGAGAUCGGAAGAGGCACAUGGAACUACCGGUGUAGUGGUAAAAUGCGUUAAUAUCGGUAGGAACACCAAAGGCGAAGGCAAUGUGCUGGUACGAUUCUGACGCUAUAGAACGAAAGCGUGGGGAGCGAAUGGG
Molecule: ribosomal RNA, 253 nt
Filed under: uncultured bacterium
Lineage: Bacteria
Description: partial 16S ribosomal RNA
Rfam family: Bacterial small subunit ribosomal RNA
Source: RNAcentral